CACGUAUAACCGGCGUAUAACUCUUUCUAUAUUCAGUUCGGUUUUAUCAGAGAACUCGUCGAAACCCUUAAGAAAAUGUACCACAAGUUGUUGGUCUCUGUUGUGGUAGUCGUUGCAAUUUUUGCCACUGUUUGCGAACCUCAACACGCUGAAGAAGUAUGUAGUCUUCCUGAAGAGACAAUAAUCUGUAAUUUGUGGAAUCACAACUUCCACUGGAGGUACGAGGCUCCGUUACGCAAUUGUGUGCGAGUUGGAGCUGGCCUAUGCCUUGUCAAUAGAAAUGGUUUCGGGACGUACGAGGAGUGCAUGACGUUUUGUAGAGGGGUGGAACCGAGGAUGCAACCUGACUGCUCUGACAGUGACGAGGAUGAGGCAGACUGUACACCUACUGACAACAAAUAAGAAUAAUAACGUUUUCGAAAAUAAAGCUUAAGAACCUU
Molecule: long non-coding RNA, 440 nt
Organism: Tribolium castaneum (red flour beetle)
Lineage: Eukaryota; Metazoa; Arthropoda; Insecta; Coleoptera; Tenebrionidae
Exons: 3
Source: RefSeq, a predicted model, not a curated record